AUUGAACGCUGGCGGCAGGCCUAACACAUGCAAGUCGAGCGGCAGCGGGAAAGUAGCUUGCUACUUUUACCGGCGAGCGGCGGACGGGUGAGUAAUGCCUGGGAAGUUGCCCAGUCGAGGGGGAUAACAGUUGGAAACGACUGCUAAUACCGCAUACGCCCUACGGGGGAAAGCAGGGGACCUUCGGGCCUUGCGCGAUUGGAUAUGCCCAGGUGGGAUUAGCUAGUUGGUGAGGUAAUGGCUCACCAAGGCGACGAUCCCUAGCUGGUCUGAGAGGAUGAUCAACCACACUGGGACUGAGACACGGUCCAGACUCCUACGGGAGGCAGCAGUGGGGAAUAUUGCACAAUGGGGGAAACCCUGAUGCAGCCAUGCCGCGUGUGUGAAGAAGGCCUUCGGGUUGUAAAGCACUUUCAGCGAGGAGGAAAGGUUGAUGCCUAAUACGUAUCAACUGUGACGUUACUCGCAGAAGAAGCACCGGCUAACUCCGUGCCAGCCGCCGCCGUAA
This 508-nucleotide ribosomal RNA is filed under the name uncultured bacterium. RNAcentral describes it as "partial 16S ribosomal RNA". It matches the Rfam family "Bacterial small subunit ribosomal RNA", at positions 30 to 523 of the family's 1533-position model. The record is from RNAcentral.